Molecule: ribosomal RNA, 500 nt
Filed under: uncultured bacterium
Lineage: Bacteria
Description: partial 16S ribosomal RNA
Rfam family: Bacterial small subunit ribosomal RNA
Source: RNAcentral
GACGAACGCUGGCGGCGUGCUUAACACAUGCAAGUCGAACGGGUCUGCCCUGUUUUUUGCGGGGUGGGUCAGUGGCGAACGGGUGAGUAACACGUGAGUAACCUGCCCCUCACUUCUGGAUAACCGCUUGAAAGGGUGGCUAAUACGGGGUGUUCUGGCUGUGCCGCAUGGUGUGGCUGGGAAAGAUUCACUUUUGUGGUGUUUUGGUGGGGGAUGGGCUCGCGGCCUAUCAGCUUGUUGGUGGGGUGAUGGCCUGCCAAGGCUUUGACGGGUAGCCGGCCUGGGAGGGUUGGCGGUCGUAACGGGAGUGGGCGACGUCGCGGACUACUGCGUGACGCAGCAGUUGGUGGUAUUGCACAAUGGGCGGAUGACUAAUGCAGCCGCGUCGCGUGUGCGAUGGAGGCCCGCGGGUUGUGAACCUCUUUCGCCGGUGAAGAAGGUCCUGCUCUUGGUGGUGGGGUUGACGGUAGCCGGGUUAUGAAGCGCCGGCUAACUACGUG